UACGAAGGGUGCAAGCGUUAAUCGGAAUUACUGGGCGUAAAGCGCGCGUAGGCGGCUUUGUAAGUUAGGUGUGAAAGCCCUGGGCUGAACCUGGGAAAUGCAUUCGAUACAGCUAGACUAGAGUAUGAAAGAGGGUCGUGGAAUUUCCGGUGUAGCAGUGAAAUUCGUAGAUAUCGGAAAGAACACCGGUGGCGAAGGCGGCUUCCUGGGUCAUUACUGACGCUGAGGCGCGAAAGCGUGGGGAGCAAACAGG
Molecule: ribosomal RNA, 253 nt
Filed under: uncultured bacterium
Lineage: Bacteria
Description: partial 16S ribosomal RNA
Rfam family: Bacterial small subunit ribosomal RNA
Source: RNAcentral